GCAGUGGGGAAUUUUGGACAAUGGGGGCAACCCUGAUCCAGCAAUGCCGCGUGUGCGAAGAAGGCCUUCGGGUUGUAAAGCACUUUUGGCGGGAACGAAACGGUGCCGGAUAAUACCUGGCGCCACUGACGGUACCCGCAGAAUAAGCACCGGCUAACUACGUGCCAGCAGCCGCGGUAAUACGUAGGGUGCAAGCGUUAAUCGGAAUUACUGGGCGUAAAGCGUGCGCAGGCGGUUCGGAAAGAAAGAUGUGAAAUCCCAGGGCUCAACCUUGGAACUGCAUUUUUAACUACCGGACUAGAGUAUGUCAGAGGGGGGUGGAAUUCCACGUGUAGCAGUGAAAUGCGUAGAUAUGUGGAGGAACACCGAUGGCGAAGGCAGCCCCCUGGGAUAAUACUGACGCUCAUGCACGAAAGCGUGGGGAGCAAACAGGAUUAGA
This 439-nucleotide ribosomal RNA is filed under the name uncultured bacterium. Its description in RNAcentral is "bacterial SSU rRNA". It matches the Rfam family "Bacterial small subunit ribosomal RNA", at positions 351 to 782 of the family's 1533-position model. The record is from RNAcentral.